This 1083-nucleotide long non-coding RNA is filed under the name Oryctolagus cuniculus (rabbit). Its description in RNAcentral is "lncRNA (ENSOCUG00000036524.1)". Lineage: Eukaryota; Metazoa; Chordata; Mammalia; Lagomorpha; Leporidae. The record is from RNAcentral.
AUGUGGAGUGUGGGGUUGCAGAGGGAGCACUGUCAGUGUGGACGCACAGGGGCAGAGACAUCCAGAGAAGUGCGAGGCAGGGAACGGCCGCCGUACCCAUGGAGACGCUGCCAUCCUUCGUGUGCCCGGUCUGUGCUGCCUCGCAGAGGGCAGACGUGGCUGUCAGUGCGGUGUCCACACCCAGGUCCGUGCCGGGGGCUGUGCCUGUGCCUUGGGCCUUCAGGGAGGGCUUCCCCAGGCUGGGAGGGGCAGAGCGAGUGGCAGCAGCUGAGGCCUGGGAGCCGGAGCUGGGUGCCGAGCCGAGGAGACGCGGGCGGCCCUGUGCAGCGCGGCACGAGUGGAGGCCGUGGCUGCCUGGAGGCCAGGGCGUCUCGGGGCCGGGCCUUGGGCUGGGGCUGCCCCCCCCCCAGCCAGUGGUCUCCAGGUCUGAGGCCCAAGGGGCCUCCUUCUGACUUGGUUUUUGUCCUCCUGGAGCCGCCCGACCCUCCCUCGGACCGAGGCCGCCCCGGACGGUGGCCUGUGCCCUUCACCGCUCUGCUGCGGCCGAGGGCCUGGCACUGUACUCUGGCCAGGGUCGUGGCUCUGGUGGUGGCGACACCUGUGACAGCGUCCUGGAAACAGCGUCUCUGUGUGCACGCAUGCACAUGGGGCCACGGAGAACACCCAGCAACGGUGCAGCAGCUGCCACAAACCCCAAGCCCCAACCCCACCUAUGACGAGACCCACACGGGCUUCUUGAGUGCCAGGUCAGGGAACAAGGCGCCGGUGGUGAGCGCCAGGCGUCGGAGCAGGGCAGGUGCACGGGAACUCCCCCGUGCAAAGUGUGCCGAGUGCAGGCCGCGCUCCUGGAAACCAGACGAGGUUCCCACCGGCUUGCACGUUCUUCUGGGCUGGGGGGGGGGUCCUGUCCCGCAGGAGCCACUUCUUGGCUGUGGUGGUGCGGCUCCUCCCCGGGGAGUGGGCCCCUCUUCCCACAAGGUCAGGGGGUGCUGGGCUUGGGAAAGUCCCUGGAAUCAGCUGUUGAUGAGGAUGUUUAGGUUAUUUUUUUUUCUAAUUUGGGAGACACAAAGAGAGAGAGAUUGA